RNAcentral lists this ribosomal RNA (250 nucleotides) under uncultured bacterium. RNAcentral's name for it is "partial 16S ribosomal RNA". It matches the Rfam family "Bacterial small subunit ribosomal RNA", at positions 779 to 1034 of the family's 1533-position model. The record is from RNAcentral.
UAGAUACCCUGGUAGUCCACGCCGUAAACGAUGGAUACUUGCUGUUGGGCUUUCGGGUUCAGUGGCUAAGCGAAAGUUAUAAGUAUCCCACCUGGGGAGUACGUUCGCAAGAAUGAAACUCAAAGGAAUUGACGGGGGCCCGCACAAGCGGUGGAGCAUGUGGUUUAAUUCGAUGAUACGCGAGGAACCUUACCAAGGCUUAAAUGCAAUUUGACAGAUCUAGAAAUAGAUUUUUCUUCGGACAGACUGC